AACGCGAAUGGCACUGUUACGCAAGUAGCAGUAUGUCUGUUUGAGAAUCGCAAAACACGAUCAACUCUAGUUAAGAGUUGGAAUUGACCUCAUGGUUACAGCAAUGUCCAUUUGGUUUAAAUGAAUUGAGUUGAUGAGCUUUCCAGCAAUGCUCAAUGUGUGCCAACGAGACAGACGUCCCGAUCUCACAUUGUAUAGCGAUUGUUGCUGAGUUCUAACCUUACAGCUCGCAAAUAUUUAAAAUCAAUUACGAUCUCAAAUCAGGCAAGAUUACCCGCUGAACUUAA
This 287-nucleotide unclassified non-coding RNA is filed under the name uncultured fungus. RNAcentral's name for it is "sequence contains ITS2". Lineage: Eukaryota; Fungi. The record is from RNAcentral.